Molecule: ribosomal RNA, 459 nt
Filed under: uncultured bacterium
Lineage: Bacteria
Description: partial 16S ribosomal RNA
Rfam family: Bacterial small subunit ribosomal RNA
Source: RNAcentral
CCUACGGGAGGCAGCAGUGAGGAAUAUUGGUCAAUGGCCGAGAGGCUGAACCAGCCAAGUCGCGUGAGGGAAGACGGCCCUACGGGUUGUAAACCUCUUUUGUCGGGGAGCAAAGCGAGUCACGUGUGACUCAUUGAGAGUACCCGUAGAAAAAGCAUCGGCUAACUCCGUGCCAGCAGCCGCGGUAAUACGGAGGAUGCGAGCGUUAUCCGGAUUUAUUGGGUUUAAAGGGUGCGCAGGCGGAGGUGCAAGUCAGCGGUCAAAUUGCGGGGCUCAACCCCGUACUGCCGUUGAAACUGCAGCCCUUGAGUGCGCGAGAAGUAUGCGGAAUGCGUGGUGUAGCGGUGAAAUGCAUAGAUAUCACGCAGAACUCCGAUUGCGAAGGCAGCAUACCGGCGCGCAACUGACGCUCAUGCACGAAAGCGUGGGUAUCGAACAGGAUUAGAUACCCCAGUAGUC